Long non-coding RNA from Gallus gallus (chicken), 1285 nucleotides. The record is from Ensembl. Lineage: Eukaryota; Metazoa; Chordata; Aves; Galliformes; Phasianidae.
AUUUCUCUCUGGAGAUUGCUCCUCUUGAAGUCUUUUUCAGUAAGCCCAUGAUGAAAGUGGAGGUGAAGAAAUUAAUUCAGACAAUGGAGUUUAUUGUGACGAUGACCUGAAGAAUAGCUAUCAAUGCAGAUUUUCUGUUUUGAGUGGAGAAAAUUCAAUUACUUUUCAAGACUUCGUCAAUCAAUUUGAUUGAGACAUACUUGUACUUCUGUUUAACUGCUUUUUUAGAAGCAUUUACAUAGCUGAAUUUUUCAAGAACAUGAUUUCAAGGAAGAGGAACAGGGGAAAAAAAAGAGUGCCUGAUAUUGUAUAAAAACCUGGUGGAGACUAAUGCAUUGUCAAAACUGGUUAAGAACACUUCAUCUCUGUGAAAAUAAUUUUUGAGUAUUACUGCUAAUGCUGCCAAGGAAAUGAAUUUUAUACACAUUAUGUUCUGCAUGAGGGCUGUUGUUUUUCUUCUUAUGGAAGUCAAGUUAAAUAAGUCUGUCUUGGAUGUGAAGCAGAAAAUUAUGAUGUUUUUAUUAUCUGCACGUUCCUUCCACAUUCAGAAAUGGUGAAAAAGAGGAUUGUUUUCGGUAGAGACUCCCUUUAGCUUAACUUAAAGCAUUUUAUUUAUAUUUUAACAAGACAUUUUCCCAUCUUUCUUUUUAUGUUACAUAGCUGUAUUCUCUUGGUAUUUGCGUACAUUUUGUAUUUGAAAAUCAGGUAGCACACUAUUUUUUCAUAACGAAGACAAAACACAUUCUGUUGGUAUUAUGUAUGCAUAUGUUAAUUUUAAAACAUACAGUCCUGUUAUUGCAGCGAAGUCCAGUGCUCUCAGAUGGUAGGUAGCUAAUAAAAGAUGGAUAAUGAUUAUGUCAUUAUGUAGGUGCCUUUGAAAAAGAAUCUUCUACUCGUUUACUUUCUAAUCAGCAGAAAUGGUUUUGAUUUUUUUUUUAACAUCUCUACUUUUUAACAUUAGCAACAAGAUUUAACAUUAUCAACAGAUUUACUGGUGGUACAAUGUGUGUAAAAGCUGGGAGAUGGAAGAGCUGAAAUGAAGUAGAAAGCCUCAGCUUAUUUCAAUAUAUUUAUCCAGAUCCUUCAGAUUUCUGCUGGAAAUGGAACAGAACACAAGUAUCCUAAAUAUUAUUUGAGAGAUCUUGAAAAUUUCCAGGAAGGUUCACAGCCAAACAGAGCUGCUUUUCAUGUCAGGAUAAUAUCUGCAAUACGCUGCAUGCAGUGGUAGAUUAUUUUUUUUGUUCUGAUUUUUAUUUACAAUAAAAUAAUAAACAUUAACAAAAAU